RNAcentral lists this ribosomal RNA (468 nucleotides) under uncultured bacterium. RNAcentral's name for it is "partial 16S ribosomal RNA". It matches the Rfam family "Bacterial small subunit ribosomal RNA", at positions 28 to 507 of the family's 1533-position model. The record is from RNAcentral.
GAUGAACGCUGGCGGCGUGCUUAACACAUGCAAGUCGAACGGACAGGCGCUGCUUUUGUGGCGUGCUCGAUUGCCGAGCGGGUGUGUAACACAUGAGUAACCUGCCCUUGUCUUUGUGAUAACUUCAGGGGACUGCGGCUAAUACCGGGUAGGAUCUCCUGCUCCAUGGUGGUGGAUAGAAAGAUUCGGCGGUUGGGGAUGGACUCGCUGCUUAUCAGCUUGUUGGUGUGGUAGUGGCUUACCAAGGCUUUGACGGGUAGCCGGCCUGAGAGGGUGACCGGCCACAUUGGGACUGAGAUACGGACCAGACUCCUACGGGAGGCAGCAGUGGGGAAUAUUGCACAAUGGGCGGAAGUCUGAUGUAGCAACGCCGGGUGCGGGAUGACGGCCUUCGGGUUGUAAACCGCUUUCGCCUGUGACGAAGCGUGAGUGACGGUAAUGGGUAAAGAAGCACCGGCUAACUACGUG